GACGAACGCUGGCGGCGUGCUUAACACAUGCAAGUCGAACGGUAAGGCCCUUCGGGGUACACGAGUGGCGAACGGGUGAGUAACACGUGGGUGAUCUGCCCUGCACUUCGGGGUAAGCCUGGGAAACUGGGUCUAAUACCGGAUAGGACUCCGGACUGCAUGGUCUGGGGUGGAAAGCUUUUGCGGUGUGGGAUGGGCCCGCGGCCUAUCAGCUUGUUGGUGGGGUGAUGGCCUACCAAGGCGACGACGGGUAGCCGGCCUGAGAGGGUGACCGGCCACACUGGGACUGAGAUACGGCCCAGACUCCUACGGGAGGCAGCAGUGGGGAGUAUUGCACAAUGGGCGCAAGCCUGAUGCAGCGACGCCGCGUGAGGGAUGACGGCCUUCGGGUUGUAAACCUCUUUCAGCAUCGACGAAGCGAAAGUGACGGUAGGUGCAGAAGAAGGACCGGCCAACUACGUGCCAGCCGCCGCAGUAA
RNAcentral lists this ribosomal RNA (478 nucleotides) under uncultured bacterium. RNAcentral describes it as "partial 16S ribosomal RNA". It matches the Rfam family "Bacterial small subunit ribosomal RNA", at positions 28 to 523 of the family's 1533-position model. The record is from RNAcentral.